UGUAUAAAAUGUACUGUUUAUUAUUUAUUUUAUUUAAUAUUAGAGGUUUUUGUUACGAUAGGCCAGAUUACGGUCAGCAAUAUAAGAAUUGCUAGACGCUGCAGUGCCGCAACCGAAUACGACGUUCACAUUGAUUAUCAUUCUAUAAUCACAACAUAAUCGCGCUCUUCGUAUUUUUAUAAUCGACGUUUGAUUAAAAUUCGAGAAAUUAUAUUGGAAUAUGGAUU
Molecule: non-coding RNA, 227 nt
Organism: Cinara cedri
Lineage: Eukaryota; Metazoa; Arthropoda; Insecta; Hemiptera; Aphididae
Source: the annotation of a GenBank genome assembly